GAAAACAAGAAUUAGACACUACGUGAGCAGGACACGACUGGACUAGAGACCUCAUUGGAGAGUAAAGGACUCAAACUGGGGAAAAAGAAGAAAUUUCCAAAGGGAACAAAUCCAAUGGAAAGACUCAAGCUGACUCAAACAUUCCACAAAGGAUACUCCGGAUAAAAAUCCGGACUUAGGCUUGAGAAAGAUUCACACAGAACCUCCCCGCCGGGAAAAAUUUGCAUAUAUUGGGGAAAACGCCAAUACAGCAAAAGGGGAAAAUCACAACAAAAACU
This 278-nucleotide long non-coding RNA is filed under the name Lathyrus oleraceus (garden pea). RNAcentral's name for it is "Pisum sativum (pea) long non-coding RNA (PSAT_LNC025521)". Lineage: Eukaryota; Viridiplantae; Streptophyta; Magnoliopsida; Fabales; Fabaceae. The record is from RNAcentral.